This is a non-coding RNA of Notechis scutatus (mainland tiger snake), 663 nucleotides long. The record is from RefSeq and is a predicted model, not a curated record. NCBI's taxonomy places the organism in Eukaryota, Metazoa, Chordata, Lepidosauria, Squamata, Elapidae.
CACCCAGUCCUUUUUCCUAGGAGCACAGCCAGCCUCUCUACUGGGACCUGCCCCGGGUCUAUUAAAUCCUCCUAUUUCAGCAGAUAUCAUUCAAGCAACCCGCCAUCUUCAGGGAGGAGAGAAGCAGCGUGUUUUUACUGGCAAUUGUCACCAGUCUCCAUGAUUAUUUUGGCGUGGUGGAUGAUGAAGUUUUUUUCCAGUUAAGCGUUGUUAAAGGCCGGAUCCCACAAAUUGGUGAGAAAGUGCUGGUGAAAGCUGUUUACAACCCCAGCCAAUCGGUGCCCUGGAAUGCCUUGAAGGUCCAGACCUUGUCCAAUCAGCAUCUUCUGAAGCCCCCCACUCCUCUGCUCCAUGUAGCUUCUUUGGGACAGAAGCAAGGCAUUCUGGGGGCUCAGCCCCAGCUGCUCUUCCAGCCACACCGGAUCCCACCUCUCUUUCCCCAGAAACCAAUGAGCCUCUUCCAAACGUCUCCAUCGCUCCAUUUGGGCCACCUUGGGAGAUACGCCGGUCGAGGUCCUAAAGGCAGGCAGGAGUCAGGCAGAUGGGAUGACUUUGACUCCAAGAAGAGGAAGCAGAAGGGUAAUGAGCCCUGGGUGGCAAAGAAGCCGCGGCACGAGCCACCCCAAUACCGAGUCCAGUUGGCCUGCUAUACUGUGAAUAGGU